CCUACGGGUUGCAGCAGUGGGGAAUAUUGCACAAUGGGCGCAAGCCUGAUGCAGCCAUGCCGCGUGUGUGAAGAAGGCCUUCGGGUUGUAAAGCACUUUCAGCGGGGAGGAAGGCGGUGAGGCUAAUAACCUCACCGAUUGACGUUACCCGCAGAAGAAGCACCGGCUAACUCCGUGCCAGCAGCCGCGGUAAUACGGAGGGUGCAAGCGUUAAUCGGAAUUACUGGGCGUAAAGCGCACGCAGGCGGUCUGUCAAGUCAGAUGUGAAAUCCCCGGGCUUAACCUGGGAACUGCAUUCGAAACUGGCAGGCUAGAGUCUUGUAGAGGGGGGUAGAAUUCCAGGUGUAGCGGUGAAAUGCGUAGAGAUCUGGAGGAAUACCGGUGGCGAAGGCGGCCCCCUGGACAAAGACUGACGCUCAGGUGCGAAAGCGUGGGGAGCAAACAGGAUUAGAUACCCUUGUAGUC
RNAcentral lists this ribosomal RNA (465 nucleotides) under uncultured bacterium. Its description in RNAcentral is "bacterial SSU rRNA". It matches the Rfam family "Bacterial small subunit ribosomal RNA", at positions 338 to 795 of the family's 1533-position model. The record is from RNAcentral.